CGCCCUUGAGUUUGAUCAUGGCUCAGAUUGAACGCUGGCGGCAUGCCUUACACAUGCAAGUCGAACGGCAGCAUAGGAGCUUGCUCCUGAUGGCGAGUGGCGAACGGGUGAGUAAUAUAUCGGAACGUACCCUAGAGUGGGGGAUAACUAGUCGAAAGAUUAGCUAAUACCGCAUACGAUCUACGGAUGAAAGUGGGGGAUCGCAAGACCUCAUGCUCAUGGAGCGGCCGAUAUCUGAUUAGCUAGUUGGUGGGGUAAAAGCUCACCAAGGCGACGAUCAGUAGCUGGUCUGAGAGGACGACCAGCCACACUGGAACUGAUACACGGUCCAGACUCCUACGGGAGGCAGCAGUGGGGAAUUUUGGACAAUGGGGGCAACCCUGAUCCAGCAAUGCUGUUUUUUUGAAGAAGGCCUUCGGGUUGUAAAGCUCUUUUGUCAGGGAAGAAACGGUGAGGGCUAAUAUCCCUUGCUAAUGACGGUACCUGAAGAAUAAGCACCGGCUAACUACGUGCCAGCAGCCGCGGUAA
RNAcentral lists this ribosomal RNA (528 nucleotides) under uncultured beta proteobacterium. RNAcentral's name for it is "bacterial SSU rRNA". It matches the Rfam family "Bacterial small subunit ribosomal RNA", at positions 1 to 523 of the family's 1533-position model. Lineage: Bacteria; Pseudomonadati; Pseudomonadota; Betaproteobacteria. The record is from RNAcentral.